GGAUCUGUGGUCUAGAGGUAUGAUUCUCGCUUUGGGUGCGAGAGGUCCCGGGUUCAAUCCCCGGCAGGUCCC
RNAcentral lists this transfer RNA (72 nucleotides) under Mycoemilia scoparia. It matches the Rfam family "tRNA". From Rfam's summary of the family: Transfer RNA (tRNA) molecules are approximately 80 nucleotides in length. Their secondary structure includes four short double-helical elements and three loops (D, anti-codon, and T loops). Further hydrogen bonds mediate the characteristic L-shaped molecular structure. tRNAs have two regions of fundamental functional importance: the anti-codon, which is responsible for specific mRNA codon recognition, and the 3' end, to which the tRNAs corresponding amino acid is attached (by aminoacyl-tRNA synthetases). tRNAs cope with the degeneracy of the genetic code in two manners: having more than one tRNA (with a specific anti-codon) for a particular amino acid; and 'wobble' base-pairing, i.e. permitting non-standard base-pairing at the 3rd anti-codon position. The record is from Rfam by way of RNAcentral. Lineage: Eukaryota; Fungi; Kickxellomycota; Kickxellomycetes; Kickxellales; Kickxellaceae.